Molecule: ribosomal RNA, 253 nt
Filed under: uncultured bacterium
Lineage: Bacteria
Description: partial 16S ribosomal RNA
Rfam family: Bacterial small subunit ribosomal RNA
Source: RNAcentral
UACGGAGGGUGCAAGCGUUAUCCGGAAUCAUUGGGUUUAAAGGGUCCGCAGGCGGUCUAAUAAGUCAGUGGUGAAAGCCUACAGCUCAACUGUAGAACUGCCAUUGAUACUGUUAGACUUGAAUUCGGUCGAAGUGGCGGAAUGUGACAUGUAGCGGUGAAAUGCUUAGAUAUGUCACAGAACACCGAUAGCGAAGGCAGCUCACUAGGCCUGGGAUUGACGCUCAGGGACGAAAGCGUGGGGAGCAAACAGG